AUGGAGAUUGUUGAGAACGAAAAUAUCAAAGUACCAAAUUCAGUCAUAGUAAGUGGGUUAUCCUAUACCCCUGUAGAUGAGGAGAUUUUCGAUUACUUAAAGCAAUGGGGGUCAAUCAGUAGGAUCUUUAAGAUUGAGAAUCCUGAGUCUGAAUAUCACAAACAAGCCAUCAUCGAGUUUAAAUCAGGUGCAACACUGCAGUCACUUGAAACUAUACUGCCGCUAGAUAGACCCACUUCUGAGGACUCCAAUGUCAUACACCACGUAAAAACACUAGCUAGUGUUCACAGCAGCAAACUAGGCACUGAAGUCACUCACACUUUUCUGUCUGAACUUAGAAACAUAGCCAGAUUAAGUGGUGUGUCAUUUGAGGACAUGUUGCGAGGGGAGUUGACAAGGAUUACAGAAACUAUUGGAGCACAGGCCCCAGUGGAGGAAGUAGAGACAGUUCAUGAGCCAACUCCGCCAGUGAGUGAAAGGAUAGAGCCCAUCUUACCUACGACUCAGGCUCAGCCCAGACCCACACCAGCUCAACUGGGACAACAUCAUAACUCCAAUGAAACUCCACUUAACCCUCACUCCACUGGUGAAUUAAGUCAAACUGUUGGUGAAAGACAGUCUUACAUUGAACCAACAGCUACAUUCACUCCAUCUGUUAUGAGGGAUCCCAUGCCUAACUUUACCUUAUCUCCUGAUCACCUCAGCACACCUGAAGUUCAGCGGGUAGUGGUGGAACACAUUGUGAAAAGUGCAGAAAUUUCAUCUCAAUUGCACUCACCGGCCAAAUUGAGGAUUUCCUCAGGAAAAGUCGCUUGCCCGAACUAUGAGGUGGAUUAUGAAACCUGGCGAACCAGUGUUGACUUCUACUUGACUGAUCCCACUGUUUCUCAUUCGCAGUUGGUGAGAAGAAUUGUUGAUAGCCUUUUACCCCCUGCUGCUAAUGUAGUGAAGCCUUUAGAUCGUCAUGCUACUCCACAAGAUUACCUGAGUUUGCUUGACUCUGCAUAUGCAACUGUAGAGGAUGGUGAUGAGUUAUUUGCAAAAUUUCUUAACACUCACCAGAAUUCAGGUGAGAAACCAUCUACCUACCUUCAUAGACUGCAGUCAUCCUUGAGUGCCAUUGUGAAAAGGAGGGCUGUAAGUGCCAGCGAUGCAGACAGACAGCUUCUCAAACAGUUCUGUAGAGGGUGUUGGGACAAUACAGUGAUCGCAACUCUCCAGCUGGAACAGAGACAAAAUAAACCACCCACCUUCUCAGAGUUUUUGUUGUUGUUGCGGACUGAAGAGGAUAAGUGA
This is a long non-coding RNA of Cyprinus carpio carpio, 1296 nucleotides long. The record is from Ensembl. NCBI's taxonomy places the organism in Eukaryota, Metazoa, Chordata, Actinopteri, Cypriniformes, Cyprinidae.